AUGAACCUGGCUCUCCUCACGAGAUGGCUCUGGUGCAUUGCAAAUGGUGAUGGUGGCCUGUGGUUGCAGACCAUCCAUCACAAAUACUUGCAUGGUGAACCCCUCGCCUUUUGCAUUAGGACAGGCGGCUCCCAGUUCUGGCACUCCGUCAUUCAGGUUCUCCCGGUCCUCCGCAUUGGGACCUCCAUCACAGUCGGAACUGGAACAUCCAUGAUGUUUUGGUUCGAUCGCUGGGCUGGGGAUAUUCCCUUCGCUGCCAGGUUCCCUGGCCUCUUCCCCAUUAUGGUCGAACCUGGGAUCUCCGUCGAGAUGACCCUUAUUGACUUAGGGCGUCUCGCGUUCCGACGACCAUUUGCCCCGGAGGUUUCUGCGUCGCACGAGCUCCUUGAUGCAGUGGCACUCCAUGAGCCAAACCUGGCGCAGCCCCACGACCGCCUAUCCUGGCGCCUCGAGUCCUCUGGCCGCUUUUCCAUGAAGUCCCUGUACCAAGCCAUUUCCCCUCUCCUACCGACAGUUGUCCUUGAGUCCAUAUGGGCCAUCCGCGUGCCCCUCAAUAUUAGAAUCUUCAUGUGGCAAUGGAUCUGAGGCCGACUCCCCUCUGGCGUGGAGGUGGUGAAACGCCAGGGUCCGAGUGAUGGUAUCUGCCCCCUAUGUGGGAUGGAAGAAACCUCAAAUCACAUCUUCUUCUCAUGCGUGGCCGCCCAGUUUCUAUGGGGCCUCCUCCGAGAGGCUCUCGGUGGCAACUGGUGUAACACCAACUUCCCUGAUCUCCUCUCCGAGAUUCAGGCCUCCCCCAUGUCGGGCCGCCACAUUAGGUGGCUACUCAUUGGGGUGCUAGCGUGGACGCUCUGGACUGUGCAUAAUAAGCUUGCCAUUCAACGGGUUCCUCUUCAACGUGCUACUGAUGUUGUGUUCAAAAUGUGUGGAUACUUGCAGCUCUCGCGACCGCUUAGCUGUCACCAGGAUCGCGACGCCAUCACCACCAUCAUCGCCGACCUUCGCUCGAUGGCUCUUCGCUUGGCGCCGCCGCUCCCUCCCCCACCACCCGAGCCGGAUUAG
This 1059-nucleotide ribosomal RNA is filed under the name Triticum aestivum (bread wheat). Its description in RNAcentral is "partial small subunit ribosomal RNA". The record is from RNAcentral. Lineage: Eukaryota; Viridiplantae; Streptophyta; Magnoliopsida; Poales; Poaceae.